UACAGAGGUCUCAAGCGUUGUUCGGAUUCAUUGGGCGUAAAGGGUGCGUAGGCGGCGCCGUAAGUCAGGUGUGAAAUCUCGGGGCUCAACCCCGAAACUGCACUUGAUACUGCGGUGCUAGAGGACUCGAGAGGAGAUUGGAAUUCACGGUGUAGCAGUGAAAUGCGUAGAUAUCGUGAGGAAGACCAGUGGCGAAGGCGGGUCUCUGGACAGUUCCUGACACUGAGACACGAAGGCCAGGGGAGCAAACGGG
RNAcentral lists this ribosomal RNA (253 nucleotides) under uncultured bacterium. RNAcentral's name for it is "partial 16S ribosomal RNA". It matches the Rfam family "Bacterial small subunit ribosomal RNA", at positions 524 to 776 of the family's 1533-position model. The record is from RNAcentral.